AAAGCGUGCGCAGGCGGUUGUGCAAGUCUGAUGUGAAAGCCCCGGGCUUAACCUGGGAACGGCAUUGGAGACUGCACGACUAGAGUGCGUCAGAGGGGGGUAGAAUUCCACGUGUAGCAGUGAAAUGCGUAGAGAUGUGGAGGAAUACCGAUGGCGAAGGCAGCCCCCUGGGAUGACACUGACGCUCAUGCACGAAAGCGUGGGGAGCAAACAGGAUUAUAUACCCCUGU
This 230-nucleotide ribosomal RNA is filed under the name uncultured bacterium. Its description in RNAcentral is "partial 16S ribosomal RNA". It matches the Rfam family "Bacterial small subunit ribosomal RNA", at positions 562 to 791 of the family's 1533-position model. The record is from RNAcentral.